ACCACUUGAUUAACUCUAAAAUUACAUAUACGUUAAAACUUAUACCUUAAAAAAAUAGCGUUUACGUGUCAAAAUAACGGAUGGAUAGAAUUUUACUUGAGAAUAUUGCAAGAAAAUUUUUUUUUUUGAGAAUAUGGCAACAUUGGUUAAAAAGUGACAUGACAGCCGACCUGUCGAUCUUUCAUCAAUCUCCACGUGGUAUGUCGUUUGUUUUUUGUUUUGUUUAUGUAUUUUUAAAUCAAUAAUCAAUGUGUUGGUUCGUUCAGUUCGUUGUGUGUAGAGUAUUUUAAUCGCAAUUUCAUUUUCUAAACGGCCCUAGGAUUAACAAAUUCGGACCACUCUCUUGGAUUUCUUAUAAACAAAGACAGUGGACACAGUACAGCACUUGGGCCACAUGUUUUAGUACCAUUGAAUUUAGUAAAUGGUUUUGUACCUUUCCAAUAUAUUUAUUAAGUUUAUAUGUCAACUAUGGAAUUCAAAGAAGAAAUUAAGGAAGAGUUUAUUGAAGGUGAUCCAAGUUAUAUAGAGAAUCAGCUGUCCACAUCAAUAGAUUUAGAACACUUCAAAAAUGAAUCAGAAAAUAACUCAGAAAUGGGACUAAAAGCUAGAAUUAAGGAAGAUUUUGCUAAAGGUAGUCUAGGAUAUAUAGAGAGCCAACCAUCUCCAUUUGCAGAUCUUGAAGAGGUGAUUAAUAAACCAAAUGAAGAUAACUCAGGUUUUUCCCAGAACGGAAUGGAUAUCAUGAAAACUGAAGUUGCUUGCCCUACAGAACAAAAAAUAAGCGCAGAUGCUGAAGAAACAAUAUUAAAAAAAUCUGUUUGUGAAUGUAAAAUUUGUUUUAAACAAUUUAACCAUGCAUGUUCUUUGAGACGACAUAUAAAAAUACACUCUGGAGAAAAGCCUUUCAAGUGUGAAAUUUGUUUAAAGCAGUUUAGUCGAGCACAUCAUUUAAAAACACAUUUGAAAGUUCACACUAGAGAAGCGUCUUAUAAGUGUGAAAUUUGUUUUAAACAGUUUAGUCUAAAACGUAAUUUGAAAACACAUUUGAAAAUACACACUGAAGAAAAAUCUUACAAGUGUGAAUUUUGUUUUAGAGAGUUUAUUCGCGCAACUAGCUUGAAAUAUCAUUUGAAAGUGCACACUGGAGAAAAACCUUACGAUUGUGAAAUUUGUUCUAAGCAGUUUAUUCAAGCAAGUGACUUGAAAACGCAUUUGAGAGUGCACACUGGAGAAAAGCCUUACAAGUGUGAAAUUUGUUUUAAACAGUUCAGUAAAACAAGUAAUUUGAAAACACAUUUAAGACUGCACACUGGGGAAAAACCUUAAAGGUGUGAUAAAGAGUUUAAUCAAACAAAUAGUUUGAAAACACAUUUAAAAACGCACACUGUACAAAAAACUUACAAGUGUAAAAUUUGUUUUAAGCAACUUAGUACAGCAGGUUCAUUGAAAAUACAUUUAAGAGUGCACACUGGAGAAAAGCCUUACCAGUGUGAAAUUUGUUCUAAGCAGUUUAUUCAAGCAAGUGACUUGAAAACGCAUUUGAGAGUGCACACUGGGGAAAAGCCUUACAAGUGUGAAAUUUGUUUUAAACAGUUCAGUCAAACAAGUAAUUUGAAAACACAUUUGAGAGUGCACACUGGAGAAAAACC
RNAcentral lists this unclassified non-coding RNA (1649 nucleotides) under Diabrotica virgifera virgifera (western corn rootworm). RNAcentral describes it as "zinc finger protein 664-like". Lineage: Eukaryota; Metazoa; Arthropoda; Insecta; Coleoptera; Chrysomelidae. The record is from RNAcentral.